UUCGGGUUGUCAUGCCAAUGGCACUGCCCGGUAGCUAAAUGCGGAAGAGAUAAGUGCUGAAAGCAUCUAAGCACGAAACUUGCCCCGAGAUGAGUUCUCCCUGAGACUUUAAGUCUCCUGAAGGAACGUUGAAGACGACGACGUUGAUAGGCCGGGUGUGUAAGCGCAGCGAUGCGUUGAGCUAACCGGUACUAAUGAACCGUGAGGCUUAACCUU
RNAcentral lists this ribosomal RNA (216 nucleotides) under Escherichia coli. RNAcentral's name for it is "partial 23S ribosomal RNA". It matches the Rfam family "Bacterial large subunit ribosomal RNA", at positions 2715 to 2925 of the family's 2925-position model. The record is from RNAcentral. RNAcentral also lists the same sequence under 4 other names. Lineage: Bacteria; Pseudomonadati; Pseudomonadota; Gammaproteobacteria; Enterobacterales; Enterobacteriaceae.